Molecule: ribosomal RNA, 83 nt
Filed under: Sarmentypnum exannulatum
Lineage: Eukaryota; Viridiplantae; Streptophyta; Bryopsida; Hypnales; Amblystegiaceae
Description: partial 25S ribosomal RNA
Rfam family: Eukaryotic large subunit ribosomal RNA
Source: RNAcentral
CAGACCUCUAAUCGGAAAAGACUACCCGCUGAGUUUAAGCAUAUCACUAAGCGGAGGAGAAGAAACUAACCAGGAUUUCCCCC